This 480-nucleotide ribosomal RNA is filed under the name uncultured bacterium. RNAcentral describes it as "bacterial SSU rRNA". It matches the Rfam family "Bacterial small subunit ribosomal RNA", at positions 46 to 525 of the family's 1533-position model. The record is from RNAcentral.
GGAUUAGGCAUGCAAGUCGAACGGUAAAAUGGCUUCGGUCAUUGAGAGUGGCGGACGGGUGCGUAACGCGUACACAACCUACCUUUAAGAGUGGAAUAGCCUCGGGAAACUGAGAUUAAUACCGCAUAGUAUCAUCAGGCUGCCUAGUCAGAUGAUUAAAACUCCGGUGCUUAAAGAUGGGUGUGCGUCCGAUUAGGUAGUUGGUAGGGUAACGGCCUACCAAGCCGACGAUCGGUAGCUGGUCUGAGAGGAUGAUCAGCCACACGGGCACUGAGACACGGGCCCGACUCCUACGGGAGGCAGCAGUAGGGAAUAUUGGGCAAUGGGCGCAAGCCUGACCCAGCCAUGCCGCGUGCAGGACGAAGGCGCUAUGCGUUGUAAACUGCUUUUGUCAAGGGAGAAGGAAUGAUAUGAAUAUUGUUUUUGACGGUACUUGAUGAAUAAGCACCGGCUAACUACGUGCCAGCAGCCGCGGUAAUA